AUGCUGUGCAAGAAUACCAUGGCCUCCCUUGUCUUCCUUGUGGCGCUGCUGCUCUCAUGCAGCUCCAUGAGCAGUGCAGCACGGCACCUAGAGGAGGCUGUGCCUAAGAAGCAGUAUCCACCACAUCCGAUCGUCCCAGAGCUACCAAAGCCCGAACUCUCGCCGCACCCUGCCGUGCCCGAGCUGCCGAAGCCUGAACCACCGCACCCUCUAGUGCCCGAAGUGCCACACCCCAUGGUGCCGGAGACGCCAAAGGAGCCUGAAGUGUCACACCCCAUGGUGCCGGAGGUGCCAAAGCACGAGCUGCCACCGCACCCUGCUAUGCCCGAGCUCCUGAAGCCUGAACUGCCGCAUCCGGCUGUCCCGGAGACGCCAAAGGAAGUGCCACAUCCCAAGGUGCCGGAGGUGCCAAAGCACGACCUGCCACCGCACCCUGCUAUGCCCGAGAUCCCGAAGCCCGAACUGCCGCAUCCGAUUGUGCCUGCGGUGCCAAAGGAGACUCAAGCGCCACACUCAAUCGUUCCGGAGGUGCCAAAGGAGCACGAUCUGCCACGCCCUGUCAUGCCGGAGGUGCCAAAGAAGCCUGAAGCGCCACACCCCGUCGUGCCAGAGGUGCCAAAGGAGCACGAGCUGCCGCACCCUGCGAUGCCAGAGUUGCCAAAGCCUGAAAUGCCACACCAUGCCGUGCCUGGGGUGCCGAAAGAGCCCGAGUUACCGCACCCUGUUGUGCCAGAGGUCCCGAAGCACGAAAUGCCGCCGUUCCCCAAAGCCGAGCUGCCUCCGAAGCCCAAGUUCCACUUUCCGGAGCCAGCGGCCAAGCCAUGA
Molecule: ribosomal RNA, 825 nt
Filed under: Triticum aestivum (bread wheat)
Lineage: Eukaryota; Viridiplantae; Streptophyta; Magnoliopsida; Poales; Poaceae
Description: partial small subunit ribosomal RNA
Source: RNAcentral